Molecule: long non-coding RNA, 1793 nt
Organism: Panicum virgatum (switchgrass)
Lineage: Eukaryota; Viridiplantae; Streptophyta; Magnoliopsida; Poales; Poaceae
Exons: 2
Source: RefSeq, a predicted model, not a curated record
GAAACCACUAUUUUUAGUGCUGCAUUUCUAUUUGAUGAAACAGAAGCGUCAUUUACAUGGUUGUUUGAGACUUUUGUAGCUGCACAUAAUAGAAAACAACCUACAACUAUUUACACGGAUCAAGAUGCAGCAAUGGAAAAAGCCAUAAAGAUAGUAUUCACAGAAUCAUAUCAUGGACUAUGCACCUUUCACAUAAUGCAGAAUGAUGUCAAGCAUUUAUCUCCAGUGAAGGAUACAGAGGAAGAUGAAGGCGAAGAGAAAGAUGAAGGUGAACAGGAAGACGAAGGUGAAGAGGAAUCGCAUAUUCUUUAUGAUUUUAGUGCUUGUAUGUUUGGCCACGAAGAUGAGGCAUCAUUUGAAGAAGCAUUUCAGAUUACGAGAUCCAAAGUUCAUAAGCAAACUUAGUUAAAUAGCAUCUACAAGGUCAAAGAGAAAUGGGCUGAAUGUUAUAUGAGAGAUGUCUUCAGUUUAGGAGUGAAAAGUACACAGCUAAGUGAGAGUUUCAACAAUGCAUUGAAGAACCAUUUGAAAUCAGAUUUUGAUAUCAUUCGAUUUCUGAAUCAUUUUGAGAGGUCAGUGCAGGAGAAAAGAGAUAAGGAACUAGAGUCUGAAUUUGAGGCAAAGAAGAAGGUACCAAGAAGACUAAUGUGCACACCUAUGUUGGUUCAAGCAAGCGAAGUGUACACUCCUAUUAUUUUUGAAGCUUUCCAAAGCGAAUAUGAAAGAUCCAUGGCUGCGUGUGCUAGAGCUUUGGAUGGGGAACACAAAUAUACUGUUGCUGUUGGGAAUUUGCUUGGUGAGGUAAGUUCUGAGCUGGAGUACACAGUGAUCGGUGAUCCUCUAAACCAAAAAGCUUCAUGUAGUUGUAGAAUGUUUGAAAGGGCAGGAAUAUUAUGUGCACAUGGUCUGAAAGUUCUUGAUCUAAUGAAUAUAAAGAAAUUGCCACCACAUUAUAUCUUAAAGAGAUGGACUAGAGAGGCACGCAAUGGAAAUAUACAAGAUAGGCAAAGAAGGAAUGUGGUAGCAAAUCCAAAAUUGGAAUCUCAAAUACGGUACAAGGUUGUCUCAUAAGUUUCAUAAUUUGGCACAUAAAGUAGCCAGCUCUCCAGAAUGUUGUGUACUGUUAGAAAAUGCACUUGAUUGCCUUUCUACACAGCUUGAGGAGAAACUCAGUUUACUAUCUUCUGGUGCUACAAAUGAGCCCUGUGAGGACAAAGAAAAUAUUGACCCAAAUGUGCAGCAAAGAGAGGAUUUGCUUAGUGCUGCACAACUAAAGAAGAAGGAAGUUCAGUCAAACAAGUCAAGAAGAACUACAACUUGGAUUGAUAAGCUACGCAAGAAGAAGCGCAAGAAUCCUAAAUCUGCAAUAUCAACAAAAAAAGGAGUAAAGCAACAAAAGAAAAAUGAUGGUUCCCAGCCACACGUAGAAAUGAAGGCUGAUGGCAGCCACAAAGAAAUAACUGUGGAGGUUGAACAAUACAAUAUCAUUAGCAAUUUUACCCAACUUGUGGCAGCACCAACUUAUGAUGAUGAUAUUCUCUGUGACCACGAUCUGUUCUAGCAUUUGCAAGGUGGUUAUAUGGCUUUUGGAGAGGGUGGUUUGAUGGCUUUUGCUUUUGGACAGGAUAGUUAGGCAUGACUAACUAUAGCAUUUUGUGGUCCUCAAUUUAGUAUUUUGGAAUGGGCUAACUAAUAGAUUUUGUGGGCAAAUUGUACAAGUGAAUAUGGCCUACACUUAGUGAAUUGGGCUAACUUAUCUCCCAAUCAUUAUAUAUGCUCCUAAAACUUCUAUA